Molecule: long non-coding RNA, 1455 nt
Filed under: Camarhynchus parvulus
Lineage: Eukaryota; Metazoa; Chordata; Aves; Passeriformes; Thraupidae
Description: lncRNA (ENSCPVG00000003805.2)
Source: RNAcentral
CGCGGGGUUUCAGGCGUGGUGUGGGAGUACACGGGAGCCGCGGAGUGGGAACCUUCCGCCUCCUCCCGGGAGCGCGGUUUCACUUCGGCCGGGGGCGGCGGGAGGAGGGAUCUGCCCACGGAGACCCGACACACGAGCCCCGCGUCCCGCGUGGGGCCGUGCGGGUCCCGCUGUCGGCGCUCCCCGCGGGGUCCCGAAGCCCCACCCGUGUCCGCCGUUGGAGGUCCGUGCCCGCCCCGGUGACACGGCGGCAGGCAGGAUCCCCGGGAAACAACGCUGCUCGGGCUGGGGACAGCGCCGGUGCCCUCCGGUCCCCGCACCCCCCGGGCGGCCUCCCCAGCCGGGGAAAGGGAAGGGGCUCGUGCCCCAGCCCCACGCCUGCACGGCUGGGCGCCCUCUCAUUCACCGGAGGGCAGACGCAGCCGUAUCCCCGCGGCCGCUCCCGCCGUGGGUUUCCCACGCGUGAGCGUGGCAGCCGCCCAGGCCCCCUGCUCAUCGGCACCGAGCUCCUGAGCGAACGGGAGAGCGACGUGGGGACAGCAGGGAAAGACCCACGGGAGGCUUCUGGUCUGGUCUCGUCUGUCGUGAACGGCGCCGCAGGAGCCCACGCGCGUCCCACUCUCGGGGCAGCUCCGAGCGGCGGCGCUGCCCACGGACACGGAAACCGCUUCACUCCGCGGGACCGGGCUGAAGGGCUGUCCGGUCCUCCCGGAGCCUCACACCGACAGCGCGGGGGGGGCGGGUUCGGUCCCUGCCCACUUGCGAGAACCGGUCGCGUGGGACCUCCUGUCUCCCAGAGGCUGCUCCGAUUUCCCGCGAUUCGUGCGUGUCUCGUUCUUCCGUGGCCCCCUCGGGGAGAAGGUGCUGUUUCCCGACGCCGUGCCGUGGGGCGAGAGGCAGAGCCAGAGCGGGGAGCCGGUGGGGGUACCGGCUGGCAGCCUCCCCGGUACCGGCUGGCAGCCUCCCCGGUACCGGCUGGCAGCCUCCCGGUACCGGCUGGCAGCCUCCAGGCGCAGCCCCAUUCCUACGCCAGUUUGCUGACAGAUAACGCGGGAGAUGGACCAAAUCGCGCGUGGGGCCGCCCCGCUGGCCCCGGGUCACCUCUCCUCCUCCCCGGGACCGCAGCCGGGGGCUGCCGGCACAACGAAACCGGCGGCAGCGGUGCCCCAUUCUGCCGGUCGUGUCCGCGUCGCCGGGAAGGAUUCGCGUUCCCGCAGCGGCGGCGGCGCCGAGCGGCACGCGCGACCGCGCCUGUCCGUGGACGGCUCCGCGGCACCGCGAUCUCCCCCGGUACCGGGACGGGCGGUUCGCGCGGGAUCGCUCCCACCCCAGACACCGCUCUCUUUGUCCGACCACCGGUAGGCGGGCCAGGCCCAUACCGCGGCGGAACUCCCCAUUCCGCACCCUCCUGCCGCCGCGGAACCCCCGUCCCGUUCCCGGUGCCGCGGAACCCCG